This 253-nucleotide ribosomal RNA is filed under the name uncultured bacterium. RNAcentral's name for it is "partial 16S ribosomal RNA". It matches the Rfam family "Bacterial small subunit ribosomal RNA", at positions 524 to 776 of the family's 1533-position model. The record is from RNAcentral.
GACGUAGGGUGCGAGCGUUGUCCGGAUUUAUUGGGCGUAAAGAGCUCGUAGGCGGCUCGUCGCGUCGACCGUGAAAACCCGCAGCUUAACUGCGGGCUUGCGGUUGAUACGGGCGGGCUAGAGUUCGGUAGGGGAGACUGGAAUUCCUGGUGUAGCGGUGAAAUGCGCAGAUAUCAGGAGGAACACCGGUGGCGAAGGCGGUUCUCUGGGCCUGUACUGACGCUGAGGAACGAAAGCGUGGGGAGCGAACAGG